CAAUAGCGUAUAUUUAAGUUGUUGCAGUUAAAAAGCUCGUAGUUGGAUUUCGGAUGGGAUUUUCCGGUCCGUCGUUACGAUGUGCACUGGCCAGUCCUAUCUUGUUGUCGGGGACUAGCUCCUUGGAUUCACUUCCUGGGACUAGGAGCUGACGAGGUUACUUUGAGUAAAUUAGAGUGUUCAAAGCAAGCCUACGCUCUGAAUACAUUAGCAUGGAAUAACACGAUAGGACUCUGGCUUAUCUUGUUGGUCUGUGAGACCAGAGUAAUGAUUAAGAGGGACAGUCGGGGACAUUCGUAUUUCAUUGUCAGAGGUGAAAUUCUUGGAUUUAUGAAAGACGAACUUCUGCGAAAGCAUUUGUCAAGGAUGUUUUCAUUAA
This 379-nucleotide ribosomal RNA is filed under the name uncultured eukaryote. RNAcentral describes it as "partial 18S ribosomal RNA". It matches the Rfam family "Eukaryotic small subunit ribosomal RNA", at positions 592 to 976 of the family's 1831-position model. The record is from RNAcentral.